UACGGAGGGAGCUAGCGUUGUUCGGAAUUACUGGGCGUAAAGCGCACGUAGGCGGCUUUGUAAGUUAGAGGUGAAAGCCCGGGGCUCAACUCCGGAACUGCCUUUAAGACUGCAUCGCUUGAAUCCAGGAGAGGUGAGUGGAAUUCCGAGUGUAGAGGUGAAAUUCGUAGAUAUUCGGAAGAACACCAGUGGCGAAGGCGGCUCACUGGACUGGUAUUGACGCUGAGGUGCGAAAGCGUGGGGAGCGAACAGG
Molecule: ribosomal RNA, 253 nt
Filed under: uncultured bacterium
Lineage: Bacteria
Description: partial 16S ribosomal RNA
Rfam family: Bacterial small subunit ribosomal RNA
Source: RNAcentral